This 1048-nucleotide long non-coding RNA is filed under the name Podarcis muralis (Common wall lizard). RNAcentral describes it as "lncRNA (ENSPMRG00000001746.1)". The record is from RNAcentral. Lineage: Eukaryota; Metazoa; Chordata; Lepidosauria; Squamata; Lacertidae.
AUGUUUUUCAGGGAUAUGCCUUUCAUAUUUAGGUUGAGGUCACCUCCUAGAAUUGCUUCCCCAGAGAAGGAGAGGAAUUUGUUUAGUGUCUUCUGGAAGAAUCCUAGUUGUUUUGAGUUUGGGGCAUAUAUGGAGCCGAUUGUCAGUUUAAUUUUGCCAUCUAAUGUCCCUUUAGCGAAAAUGAAUCUGCCUCUUUUGUCCUGUUGUGGCGUUGAAGUUCAGGUCUCUACUGAGUAUUAUAGCUUACUCUGCAGGCCUUCCCUGAGUCAGGUGCAACCCAUUGUUGACUGAAGCGAGGGUCCUUCAGGAGUUUGCUCCUUUUGGGUGGGUUGUGUAUUUCUUGUAGGAAGGUGAUGUGUGGUUUCAUGGUAUUUAUGUAUGAAGUGAUGCAUUUUCUUUUGAUGGGGUUUCCCAACCCCGUCACAUUUAAUGUAAUUGCUUUUUACAUUAGCCAUCUUGCUGAUCUAUUAUGUGGGGCGAUUCCCUGCCAGCCCAUCCAGGUUGUCCUGUGUCUCUCACUUCAUGUUGUUUAACGAACCAGUGGGGUUGUGCUGACCUAGAGUGUGGUGGGUGGGGGACUAGUGGGAUUAGAGUUAGAUUUGGGUUAAAGAGUAGGGGGUAGGUUGUAGAGAAUUUCCUAUAUGUAGUCAUAUAGGUGUUUGUUUGGGGUAUUUUGGGCCAUCUGGCAUUUAGCCAGUUGGUCCUAGGUCUCAGCUAGUGUGGAAGGCCAUGUUCAGGGACAGGCCAUCCCCCCGUCAUUUGCGAUAGGGGGUGAUCAGUGAGAUGGUGUGAAGCAUCUUUGUGACGCCAACGUCGGGUAUAGGGUUCAUAAGCAAUGUUGGCAAUGUUAUUAGCAACAUUGUUGGUAUGUUGGGGUGGGGAUGUGGUACGCUCUGGCGCCACCAUUGUGCUGGUUGGGUAUCAGAUUUUAGCCUGUUUGUGGGUUGUGUUGUUUAAGGUUGGAGGAGUUGUUUUUCCUUAGUAUGGGGUAGGGGGAUGCUGAAGGUGUAGGUUAUGGGUUGUUGGGUGAUGGGGAAUGUGGUUUGAG